This 371-nucleotide ribosomal RNA is filed under the name uncultured organism. Its description in RNAcentral is "bacterial SSU rRNA". It matches the Rfam family "Bacterial small subunit ribosomal RNA", at positions 526 to 896 of the family's 1533-position model. The record is from RNAcentral.
CGUAGGGUGCGAGCGUUAAUCGGAAUUACUGGGCGUAAAGCGUGCGCAGGCGGUUUUGUAAGACAGGCGUGAAAUCCCCGGGCUCAACCUGGGAACUGCGUUUGUGACUGCAAGGCUAGAGUAUGGCAGAGGGGGUGGAAUUCCACGUGUAGCAGUGAAAUGCGUAGAGAUGUGGAGGAACACCGAUGGCGAAGGCAGCCCCCUGGGCCAAUACUGACGCUCAUGCACGAAAGCGUGGGUAGCAAACAGGAUUAGAUACCCUGGUAGUCCACGCCCUAAACGAUGUCAACUAGGUGUUGGGUGGGUAAAACCAUUUAGUACCGGAGCUAACGCGUGAAGUUAACCGCCUGGGGAGUACGGCCGCAAGGUUA